UGGGGAAUUUUGCACAAUGGAGGAAACUCUGAUGCAGCGACUCCGCGUGAGUGAUGAAGAUCUUCGGAUUGUAAAACUCUGUCCUUAGUGAAGAUAAUGACAGUAACUAAGAAGCAAGCCCUGGCUAAAUACGUGCCAGCAGCCGCGGUAAUACGUAUGGGGCAAGCGUUGUCCGGGAUUAUUGGGCGUAAAGGGUACGUAGGCGGUUUAAUAAGUCCUAAUUAAAAGGCUAUGGCUCAACCAUAGUAUGGUUAGGAAACUGUUGAACUUGAGUAGAUGAGGGGAAGGGGGAAUUCCAUGUGUAGCGGUGAAAUGCGUAGAUAUAUGGAAGAACACCACUGGCGAAGGCAACUUUCUGGAAUCAAACUGACACUGAGGUACGAAAGAGAGGGGAGCAAACAGG
RNAcentral lists this ribosomal RNA (403 nucleotides) under Fusobacteriota bacterium. RNAcentral's name for it is "Fusobacteria bacterium partial 16S ribosomal RNA". It matches the Rfam family "Bacterial small subunit ribosomal RNA", at positions 355 to 776 of the family's 1533-position model. Lineage: Bacteria; Fusobacteriati; Fusobacteriota. The record is from RNAcentral.